CCUACGGGAGGCAGCAGUGGGGAAUUUUGGACAAUGGACGCAAGUCUGAUCCAGCCAUGCCGCGUGCGGGAAGAAGGCCUUCGGGUUGUAAACCGCUUUUGUCAGGGAAGAAACGGGUUUCUCUAAUACAGAGACCUAAUGACGGUACCUGAAGAAUAAGCACCGGCUAACUACGUGCCAGCAGCCGCGGUAAUACGUAGGGUGCAAGCGUUAAUCGGAAUUACUGGGCGUAAAGCGUGCGCAGGCGGUUAUGCAAGACAGAGGUGAAAUCCCCGGGCUCAACCUGGGAACUGCCUUUGUGACUGCAUAGCUAGAGUACGGUAGAGGGGGAUGGAAUUCCGCGUGUAGCAGUGAAAUGCGUAGAUAUGCGGAGGAACACCGAUGGCGAAGGCAAUCCCCUGGACCUGUACUGACGCUCAUGCACGAAAGCGUGGGGAGCAAACAGGAUUAGAUACCCUGGUAGUCCACGCCCUAAACGAUGUCAACUGGUUGUUGGGAGGGUUUCUUCUCAGUACGAAGCUAACGCGUGAAGUUGACCGCCUGGGGAGUACGGCCGCAGGUUGAACUCAAAGGAUUGACGG
Molecule: ribosomal RNA, 581 nt
Filed under: uncultured bacterium
Lineage: Bacteria
Description: bacterial SSU rRNA
Rfam family: Bacterial small subunit ribosomal RNA
Source: RNAcentral